CCUACGGGUGGCAGCAGUGAGGAAUAUUGGUCAAUGGGCGGAAGCCUGAACCAGCCAAGUAGCGUGCGGGAUGAAGGCCCUACGGGUCGUAAACCGCUUUUGCACGGGGAUAACACGUUCCACUUGUUGUGUUCUGCAUGUACCGUGCGAAUAAGGGCCGGCUAACUCCGUGCCAGCAGCCGCGGUAAUACGGAAGGCCCGAGCGUUAUCCGGAUUCAUUGGGCUUAAAGGGAGCGUAGGCGGGCGUUCAAGUCAGCUGUAAAAUUCCGCGGCUCAACCGCGCCCCGCAGUUGAAACUGGGGGACUGGAGUACACAACAGGCAGGCGGAAUUCGUGGUGUAGCGGUGAAAUGCAUAGAUAUCACGAGGAACCCCGAUUGCGAAGGCAGCCUGCCGGGGUGCGACUGACGCUGAGGCUCGAAGGUGCGGGUAUCAAACAGGAUUAGAUACCCGGGUAGUC
Molecule: ribosomal RNA, 459 nt
Filed under: uncultured bacterium
Lineage: Bacteria
Description: partial 16S ribosomal RNA
Rfam family: Bacterial small subunit ribosomal RNA
Source: RNAcentral